UGAGCAAAGUUUAUUGCAUAAAGGAAUGUGCAAUUCAAUCACAAAAUAAUAUAGUAAGUAGAUACUGGAUCACAAACCAACACAUAAUAAUUCAACAACCUGCAGAACAGUCUGUAUCAUAAUACUAGUGUUUAAAUUUAACACAAAAAUGAUUCGCUAUUAUAAUUAUCAGGAUUUAAAUGGUAUUUAUUCUCAAUCAACUGAUGUGUUCUCAAGACUGCAUACUAGAAAAGCAACUGACAAUCAAAACAUGUGUUCUCACCUCUGUCCACGGGUUGAAAAAUAGAAUCACAUUUGAUGUACACUGUUAUACUAAACAUUAUUUGUCUCGGGUUUAAUCCCCUUAACAUUAUUACCCAGCAGUGAAGAACCGUUACUCUAUCAUAAGUUUUCAAGCUCAAUAGAGUUCCAUAAUUUACCUUAAGGAUUUAUGCUACCUUAGCUUGACAUGAAUUUUGUUUCACAAAGAGUUCUUAGUUAUUCUUAUAAAAAAAACCCACACCUUUAUAUCAAUGUUUGGACUAGAUUACACCAUCAGUGACAUGAGGUACACACAGGGAUGUGUCUGUGUACUUGGAUGACGCUUGAUAUCAUUUCAUCAAGUAAUAAAAACUUUAAAAGGGAGAUAACCCUACUGCUAAUCAUAGUUUGUAAGGUAGCAUAUAUCCUUAGAUAUUUUAAUAAAGGUUAAAUGUCAUUGGAGAAGAAGUUCCCUUAACUCAACUUUUUUUUUAUAUGUACAUUAUGGCAAUGCAGCGAUAUUAACUGUUAUUGAAUGAGGCAUGGUUAAACAUGGAUCCAGACAUGGCCCUGCCGAAUUCUGGAAGGCUGUUGUACCUACUCCGGUAAAGACUGGUUAAGGAUUAAACCACGGCAUAUCAUUGGUCAGUCUGUAUCAUUAUCACCAUAUAUAUAAUGUUGAGAGUCAUAAACAUCCCAAAACCUGACAAAGAAUGAAAUACAGUAACACAUGUUUACAUUGUUCCGUGACUUUAUGAAAUUUGUUUAGCGUCAAAUUCUUUUCAAAGUGCGAUAAGUGUAUUAUAUAAUAAUUAACAACAUGCAACUAUAAAAAUAUACAUAUAACGUUAUUAAUGUAGACCAACUAUAAAUACGACGAAUGUUCCGACACAACUUCCAUCACCCAGACACCCCGUAGUGCUGUGACUUGUGCUAGGUUUUCGGGCAGUAUCACAGAUAAUGUACAACUUCCAUCACCCAGACACCCAGUAUAGUGCUGUCACUUGUACUAGGUUUCGGGCAGUAUCACAGAUAAUGUAAAACAAUGAUAUAACCGUUCCUCCUGGCUUUAAAAAUUCAGUCAAUCCUUAUAAUUAAUUGAUGUAAUUUUAUCUUGGUUAUCAAUUUAAAAAUUAGAACUUACAUUGAUCAUUAAACAAAGAGAUUAAGUUUGUAGCAACAUUUCGUUUCCACUCGGCUGCUGUUGGGAGUAAAAGACAAUUAAAAAUUAAAAAUUUAUUAUGCAUUUAGAAUUUUUUGAGGACAGAAAGCACACACUGGUAGAAAUACAGCACUAUCAAAAUACAAAUUGAUCUCCUCUGAGAUUCUCUCCCUAAAAUGGCCGACAUAUUGAAAGUGCCUAUUACCGGUAAAUAUCAAAUACAGCUGUGGAUUUGACCCAGAAUAUAAUCGGACUGGCGAAUAUUGUACCGGUAGGUCAAUACAGCUGAUCCCAAAACGAUAUCACGAAACAGCUGUCCAUGGACACGGAUGUAUAUAAGUUAACAAAGUAGGAUUCUAUCCUAACUAGGCUGAUGGAAGCAUUCAAACAAUGUGUAAUAUAUAAUGAUAAAUAAGUGAUUAAAACACUAUAAUACUGAUAGGUAUGUGAUGAGCACAGAUUGGUGAUACCACAAAUGGGACACCAGGUAACUUACAAACAUCAUCAGGAGUAUGAUCAUAAAAAAACAUUCAUAUGACCAUGAUCUGUGAACAUAAACUUUCAUAAGACAAUGAUCCAUCAACAGCACUGUGUUUACCUGUGGUAAUCAUCAUACAAACAAUAUAAGGACCAUCAAAUGCAAACGCCAACAGGACCAAGAUCCAGUAUGAUUGGAUAUAUGGACUCGGAUCCAUUAACAAAGCAUCAACAUGACCUGACCACCAUCGAUCAAAAGCUUUGUUGUGAACAAGAUCAUGCAUCAUAAGAUAUAUGUGCUAAUAAUAUAUAACAAGUUUUCUGAAAUACUUCUUUUUACACACACACGUGGUCUUAUAUAAAUAUAACAAACUCCAGAAAUGUAAUGAAUUGUAUAAAAUAUAUGUCAAAGACAACAAAGAUUGGACAAAAGAUUAAAAUUCAAACCUGUUGUCAUUCUGACCAGAACAAGACAAGGUAUCACAAAUAAAAACAAGAAAAAGAACCAUUUUAAGUUACAAAAUAUAUGAUUACAGUAUAUAAAGGAAAUAUAUUAACAAACUAACAGGCUUACAACAAUGCCUAUAGAAAUAUUCUCAGAAAAAUUCUUUUAAAGUGGAAUAACUUCUUCCUCUUAAAUACCAGUCCUCCAAUAAUAAAGAUAAACCAGUAACGUUGUUGGUGUAAUUUUGAUUAUAGAUAUAUAUUAUAUCUAUUAGUUUUGAUUCUUUUCUCUCUUAUCUCUUUUUAGAUGAAAAUGUGAUCUGGAUAAUCUUGCAUAACUCGGCCAAGUGUAAACAUGCAUGGAUCAUAAUAAUGUUGACUAGGCUAUUUAUAGAUCAGUAAUGUACAUAAUUCUUAUCACUGAAGAACAUGACGUAGAAACUACACUCAUUUAGUUUAAUUAAUCUGAAGUGCAUAAUGGAGGUGUCUCUAAAAUAAGCAAAUAGUUUUUUUUUCUUUCUUUCUCUCUCGAAAGUUUAGCCAGGUUCUGAAAGGUGUGUUAUUUAAAUACUGCUAAUAGUGAAAACAGAGAG
This 2916-nucleotide long non-coding RNA is filed under the name Mizuhopecten yessoensis (Yesso scallop). Its description in RNAcentral is "uncharacterized LOC110455830". Lineage: Eukaryota; Metazoa; Mollusca; Bivalvia; Pectinida; Pectinidae. The record is from RNAcentral.